Molecule: transfer RNA, 73 nt
Filed under: Camelus bactrianus (Bactrian camel)
Lineage: Eukaryota; Metazoa; Chordata; Mammalia; Artiodactyla; Camelidae
Also listed under: 2 other names
Rfam family: tRNA
About the family: Transfer RNA (tRNA) molecules are approximately 80 nucleotides in length. Their secondary structure includes four short double-helical elements and three loops (D, anti-codon, and T loops).
Source: Rfam by way of RNAcentral
GAGGGUAUAGCUUAAGUGGUAGAGUGUGUGCCUAGCGCGCACGAGGUUCUGGGUUCAAUCCCCGAUACCUCCU